GAUCUCCUGACCUCGUGAUCCGCCCGCCUCGGCCUCCCAAAGUACUGGCGUGAGCCACCGCGCCGGGCCCCCACUUCUCAACUGAUGACUGCGACACUCCCUUGAGGGUAAAACUAACUUCUGGCCACCUCCACAACUGUAAACCUGGUGUCACUCUUGGUGACUCCACCUCAGCUAAGGCCCCCACUUCCUGAUCUGCCUCCAGCCCCCUUGGGCAGCACUCCCUGGUGGGGCAGUGUGGACGUUGGCUGGAAUCCGUCAGGUGGUGACCUACCUUCCCCUCCUCCACCAGACGGGAGCUCUUUCAGGCCAGUGGUUUGUUGUUCAUCAAGAUAUCCAAGUACCCGGCAACAUUCCUGGCAUAUAAUAGGAAGGCAGAUCUGGUGAAUGAAUGAAUGAAUGGCGGUAUCUGGAGCAGAGACAAUGAAUUUCAUGUUUAACAGAGGUGUCUUCAAGGAGAUGAAACAAUUCAGAAUGACCUAGGCAAUGGGGUAAUUCCUAAGGAACAAGCUAUUCAUUCAUACAGCAUGGACGAAUAUUAAAUGCAUGUUGCUGAGUGAAAGAAGCCAGAAUGAUAAGGCUACAUCCUGGAAAAGUUUAUAUUCUGGAAAAGGCAAAACUUAUAGAGACAGAAACAAAUCAGCCAGUUGUUGCUGGGGUUUGGGAGAGAAGAAUGUUGACUAUGUGAAGAACAAGGGAUCUUGGGGGGCAUCUAUUCCAUAUGCUACUGUAGGGGUGGAUGCAUGAUACUAUCAUUUGUGGAAAACCAUAGAACUUUACAAAACUAACAGUGAACCUUAAUGUCUGCAAAAUUUUACAAAAUCAACUAGGAGGCUGGGGGAUCCCAGGAUGAAAUACAGGCAAUGACAAAAGAGCCUAACUCUAUUACACAUUUAUAACAUAACCGCACCGAAGAGGACUGGUAUUCUAUAACUGUGGAAAUAAUGGAAACUGGAAAACUGAAGACAAAAGGAACUGUACUUAGCACUAUACUCUAGUUGGUAAAGGCGUUUCUCAAGGGGUACCAGUUAACAAUUCUGAGACUGCUGUACAUGUAUGCAGAGACUGAACAAAUAAGUAAAUGGCUGGUACAUGCUCACUCUCAGGGAGGGAGGCCACAGAUAAACAAGAGGAAGAGGCUCUAAUGUCAUGUGUGGUUGUGGAUUAGAACCAGAAACAUAAAUAUGAACUCAUGUUUAGAUUAAUAUAGAUAUUAAUGGAUUGAUAUAGAAAUAAUGAUGAUAUGGGUAUAUAUACAGGUUAGUAUACAGUCAUAUAUUUCUUAUCCCUAUCCACUGAGAGGGCCUAGAAACAACAAUACUCCAGUAGCAACACACACAUCUCGUGCCCAUAUCUUGAUUUCUUUUGCCAUUUCCUAACAAAAGGAGCCAGGACUUCUUGGAGAAAUGGCUGAUUCUAAGACUGGGUCAGAGAGUAUACCAGAUGACGCUGGCACAUCUUCUACUGCUAGAAAGUAAGGAAAUGCUCAAAAAAUAAAACCACGGAGAUAUUUCAAAGGAACACAGAAGCCAAGUGGAACAGCUCCCAGUGGCCAAAGCUGGAAAAAUUGGGGCAAAAAAAAAAAAAAAAGUAUUAGGUUAUAAUCCAAAAUAUAAAAUAAAUAAUCACCAGCCCGUACUAAUGUGCAUAAAUUAUUGAAUAAAUAAGUAAAUGGGUGAAAAGAGAAAACUCUCUCCCAUACAAAGGAAGCCCAAAUAAUUUAUGUAGAUGAUCGCCCUGCAAUGAGGCAGAGGGCAACUCCCUACCCUGUGUUAAGUGUGGAUGGCACUUAGAGACUUGCUUCUGAAGAGCGCAAUACGGAAAGGAGGGGAGAAGUAACUUGGCAAUGAAGAAACCUGACAAACACCAUCUUCUCCAGGCAGCCAAGGUUAACACCAUCAGUGAUAAGUUACGUUGAUAGCCUGUAUUUUUGAUAUGAUGUGUUGAGAAUGUACUUAGUUUCUGUGGUCUUCUUCCCAAACACCUGACACCAGGCUCACCAGGAGAAAAUGAAUCCAAAUUAAGGGACAUUCUACAGAAUACCUGACCAACACUCCCUCCUAAAAACUGUCAAGGUCAUCAAGGAAUGUCUAGGAAGAAGGAAAGUCUGAGAAGUUGUCUCAGCCCAGAGGAGCCUUAAGAAGCCAUGACAGGUAGGGCGCGGUGGCUCACGCCUGUAAUCCCAGCACUUUGGGAGGUCGAGGUGGGCGGAUCAC
Molecule: long non-coding RNA, 2216 nt
Filed under: Homo sapiens (human)
Lineage: Eukaryota; Metazoa; Chordata; Mammalia; Primates; Hominidae
Description: HSALNT0359793
Source: RNAcentral